AGAGAGAGAGAGAGAGAGAGAGAGUGAGUGAGUGUAUGGAGACGUGAACACUUUCUCUCAGAGCCCCCCUUAUUCCCCUCCCUACGACCCCCGAAACCGGAUUAAACCGAUUUAUUUUUUUUCCGUUAAACGUGACCGUUAUUCGGGGCUAAACCGAGGCGCGAUGUGGAUUCAGGUCCGCACUAUAGACGGGACGGAGACCCGCACGGUGGAGGAUCUGUCCCGGCUCACCAAGAUCGAGUCUCUGCGUCUCAAAAUACAGGAGAUCUUCAAUGUGGACCCGGAGAGACAGCGCUUAUUCUACAGAGGCAAACAGAUGGAAGAUGGACAGACACUAUUCGAUUAUAAUGUUGGCCUUAAUGACAUCGUCCAGCUUCUCAUUCGCUCUCACACUGAUCCAGCUGACAGUCCAAGCCCUACUCCCAACAAUGGAGAGGUCAUGACUGGUAACGCUACUCCUCCCAGCAGCAGCAGCAGCAGCAGCAGCUCUACCACACCCACAGCAACCACAGUAACCACAGCAACCACGGCUUCCCCAGCAACGGUCAGCAGCAAUAGUGGGUCAGCAUUAGAAAGUCAGCCUUCGACAUCAUCAUCUGCUGACCUCGUCAAUCCAGGGAUUGGAGUUUAUAAGAUUAACGAGCUGGUGGACUGCAGGGAUGUUAGCAUUGGCGCCUGGUUCGAGGCCACUAUCGAGAGAGUCACGCUGUCCAGCAAAGGGAGCAAAAGCAAAGCUGAGACCGCAGCAUCCUCUACAGGCAGAGCAGGAAGGAACGGCAAGCGCAUUAAUGGGAAGGUGGAGAUGGAGUCAGACACAAACGGCACUGUGCCGCCAUACUCGAACAGUGAAGAGCCUUCAACAUCUCAGACUGAAGCAGAAGAUUCUGGAAAAGACGAUAUCAGCUACCACAUUAAAUACGAGGAUUACCCAGAGAACGGUGUGGUGGAAAUGAGCGCCGAGGACGUGCGUCCUCGAGCUCGGACACUGCUACGGUUCGAACAGCUGGAGGUGGGACAGGUGGUGAUGGUCAACUACAACCUGGAGCUUCCAGAAGAGAGGGGAUUCUGGUAUGAUGCUGAAAUCACCACGCUCAACCACAUCUCCAGAACCAAAAAGGAGGUGCGCGUCAAAAUUCUGCUCGGAGGCCCAACCGAUGUGAUUAGUGACUGUAAGCUAUUGUUUCUGGAGGAAAUCUACCAAAUUGAGAAACCCGGAGCUCCUCCUCUCUCUGUCACCAACGGCCAGUUUAAACGUAAGAGUGGGCCGGAGUGUAAGCACUGUAAAGCCGACCCGGAUGCCGAGUGUCGGUUCUGUUCAUGCUGCGUGUGUGGGGGAAAGCAGGACGCACACAUGCAGCUGCUGUGUGAUGAGUGUAACAUGGCCUUCCAUUUGUACUGCCUCAACCCCCCACUGUCCACCAUUCCAGAGGACGAAGACUGGUACUGCCCCACAUGUAAGAAUGACACCACGGAAGUGGUGAAAGCAGGUGAAAGGCUGAAAGAGAGUAAGAAGAGGGCUAAGAUGCCUUCAGCAACCAAUGGCAGCCAGCGGGACUGGGGAAAGGGAAUGGCGUGUGUGGGUCGAACUAAAGAAUGCACCAUUGUUCCAUCCAAUCACUAUGGUCCGAUUCCUGGAAUUCCUGUGGGAACCACUUGGAAGUUUCGUGUGCAGGUGAGUGAGGCGGGGGUGCAUAGGCCGCAUGUGGGUGGGAUUCAUGGACGCAGUAAUGAUGGCUCCUAUUCGCUCGUGCUGGCCGGAGGAUUUGAAGACGAAGUGGACCGGGGAGAUGAGUUCACGUACACAGGCAGUGGAGGUCGUGACCUUUCAGGAAACAAGCGAAUCGGAGAGCACUCCUUUGAUCAGACUCUAACACACAUGAACAGGGCACUUGCUCUGAACUGUGAUGCUCCUUUGAAUGAUAAAGAUGGGGCGGAGUCUCGUAACUGGAGGGCGGGGAAACCGGUCAGAGUGAUCCGAAGCUCGAAAGGCAGACGAAUCAGCAAAUAUGCACCAGAGGAAGGAAACCGCUAUGAUGGAAUCUACAAGGUAGUCAAAUAUUGGCCUGAAAUUGGAAAAUGCGGCUUCCUGGUCUGGCGUUACCUGCUGAGACGUGAUGAUGUGGAACCUGCACCGUGGACACCUGAGGGACUCGAGCGCAGCAAAAAACUCGGACUGAAAGUGCAGUAUCCUCCUGGUUAUUUGGAGGCAAUGGCCAAUAAGAGCAAGAAGGAGGCGAGUGUGCGAGGGGGAAGAGGUGGCACGCCACGUGGCAAGCGACACGGAGGAAGAGGAAGGCCAAGAUGUGGACGGCCGCCAAAGAGGGUAAAGGAAGAAGAGGAGGGGGAAAGAGAGGAGGAGGAACCGGCAGAGCACAAGGACGGAGAAACACAGAAGAACGGAGGAGAGGACUCGCAGAAAGAGACAGUGUGUAAGGAGCAGCAGGAGCCCAAAGCAAAACGGUUAAAGGAAGUGGAGGCAUUUGUGUUAUCCGAGCAGCAGCGUUCACUUAUACAGGAGGAUCAUGUGAACAAGAAAGUGUGGGAUGAAGCUAUGGGCUUCCUCACUGAAGGACCGAACUUCCUGCGUAAGGUGGAGCAGAUCUUCAUGUGUGUGUGCUGCCAGGAGCUCGCUUACCAGCCCGUCACCACACCUUGCCAGCACAAUGUCUGCAAGACCUGCUUACACCGAUCGUUCAGAGCUGAAGUGUUCACCUGCCCAGCAUGUCGCUACGAUUUGGGGAAAGAUUACAUCAUGGUGCUGAAUAAAAACCUGCAGCAGCUCCUGGAUCAGUUUUUUCCUGGAUACAGCAAGGGACGAUGAGACGUCACCGGAGAUACGGACAGAAAUAAUCUCCAUCCAGCUCAAUGGCACUUACACACACACACACACACACACACACACAAAGAGAAUCAGUGCACUAGCUCCUACAUCCAACAUGAUAACAAACAAAACACACACACACAAUCAGUGCACUAAGACCUACACUCAACAUAAUAACAAAGCGCACAUGUACACACACACACACACACACACACAAAAAUGCUUCAUGUAGAUGUUUCUUUCAUUAACACCAGCCUGAUACUUGUAUCCCAAGGACACCCAGGUCAUCACCAUGACCACGACCUCUGCUGGUUGUGCGUGGAUUUAUUCCUUCAUACACAUCUCUCGAUUGAAGGAUACACACACAAAUUCACAAACACACUCUCUACAAAGGAGCAGCGGAAAACUAGCGACAACUCGUUCCUUUCAACGGAUCCGUUAAGGAUGGACUAAUGGCUAAUGCUAAUCAAGUGCUAACUGUUGCUAACAGGGGAAAAAAUGGCUCACAAAUCUCCACAAAAGUGACAUAAUUUAACCAAACAAUGCUAACCCGGCAUCAAAGAAUCAACGCUAGGGGUGGCUAGUAAGAAUAGACGGGUUUUAUUUACUGUUAAAACAGGCGUGUAGCUCAGUAUCCUUUCGUUAUCCGUUAAUCCCAGCCAGGUUGAUAGCUAGACAACAGAUUACUGAAUUUCAAUUAGGUUAAUUGCUUUUAUGUUUUGGGAUUGCUAAAAAUCUACAGCUAGCUGGCUAGCUAACCCUCAUGCCUACUUUCUUUCACUUCUCAAAUUUCGAUUUUUUUAUGUUUGACAAUAAAAGUUUGUUCAACUUUAAUGUUUCACUCAAAUUGCCUGGAUUAGUAUAUCGAUUAGCAUCACAGCUCAUACAUUAUGUAACAAAAUAAUAGCCAAAGAUUUAUCUAUAUGAUGGCUGUAUCUGUUGGAAUACAAUAGCCGAUCACGCGGAUCUGAGCUUGUAUACGGAAGAGGGCAGAUAGCACUUUUCUCAGAGGAAGCAUGUGUUCGGCUCCAGCCUAAUAUGAGGAGAAUAAGAGUGUACUUAAUUAGCUGCAGCUAACUAGGUAAAGAAUGCUGUAGUGGGAUGCUGGUUUAUUAUGUUUAAAUUUGAUAAAAGCAUUGAGAAUGUACAGUCCUAAAGAUCGUCCUGGUUGUUUUCCGUUCCAGAACAGACGGACUUGCCAGCAACCCUAGCUGUGCUGUUUUGGGGCUAAUAUUGGCUAGCUAGCAGCUCAGAGUCAGAUAUCCUGCAACUUUAAGUUAAUGCUAAUAAUUUAAUACUUUGCCAGGAUCAGGAAAGGGUGAGAUCAGGGUUCUAGGAACAUGUAGCGACUGGAAAAUUCUUGUGAUUUUUGGGAAUGUUUGUUGCACCAAUGUAGUAAUAUUUCACAAAACAGUCCUGGUUAGCCAGUCAGCAAGCUAAUGCUAGGCGCUUUGAUUAUUGUUUAUUGUUGCUGGGUUAAUAAUGUUUGGUUAAAAUAAUCAUUGCUUCUACCAGGGACAGUUUUUAUUUAAACAAUUUUCUAAAAUCCACAAAAAAUGGUGCAAAAGUCCAUAAUGGUGAGUUGCGAUUGGCUGAGAGCAGCAGGACUCGGGAGUAUUUUGUACAGAGGCAGUGGCAAUUAACACAGUCUUUCCUUUAGGGUGAAAUAAAUACAGGGAGAAUUUGUCAUACAGGUAAACUGCGUCAAUAUUCAAUUCUCAAUUCGAUGAAUAGGAUUGAGCAACUGAAUAGCAGAUAAAUUAUACAAUUAUUGUAUAGAGGUGCAGUGACUGAACUGGAGUUAAAUUCAUUCAGUAGUAAAAGCUGAUUUAAAGGUUUGGCUGAAAAACAUAGCCGAUGCCCCAGACUGGGUCCAGUCAGGACACGGCUGUGGUGUAAUGUUAUCGUGUCAUUGAUUUUUUUCAGAUUUAAAUUUAGCCUCAGAGACGUUGCAGUUAUUUUUUCUAUCACAGACCUGCCAACCUUCAUGCAAUGUGCAUAGGAGUGACGCAGUCUCACAUCGGAGUUGUCAUUCAUUUAUUCGUUAAUAUAAACGGCAGCUAAUCAAUAUAUAAAUCUGGAAUUAUAUAUAUAUAUAUAUAUAUAUAUAUAUAUAAUUAUAUAUUAUUAUAUAUACAUAUCCUAUAUUAAGUGACGGAACGCGUCCCACCCCUCAUACUCAUCUUUCCACAUCUCAACAUCUCACGUGAGUAAAAGUUUGGUUCAUCUCAAUUAAAUUUUCACGCACUUUCUGUCAUGCUAAAUGGAAAAGAUGUUUUGUUUUCGUUAAUCUAACUUAAACUCUAUCAGUGUUCCAUUUCCAACGUUACACAAGUAUACAAAUACACCUAGUAAACAUCAUGUAAUUAUCGUUAUUCAGAGAUGCAACCAAAGGUUUUUCAGCCAAAUGAGAGAAAAAAAGGUAGGCUCACAAGGAUAUGAGAACUCCAUAACACACAAAUGUAGUUCAAUUUCAUUCGUAUUACGCUUGUAACAGUGGACUUCGCAACCUUACAGAAAUAAAGCUUUACAGAAAGCUUGACAUGUCUCAGAGGAAGUGCGUGGCUCUUACACUCCCCGAUUAUUAGCUGUAAUGUGACAGAGGAGAGCUGGCUAUUGAGUGGAAAAUGGUAAAUAACCAAAACUCAUUGGUUUACCUGCAAACAAUUCUGAUGUUUUCCAUUAAGCCAGAAACAAAAGACUCAAACAAAUACUGCAUACCAGUAAUGACCUUGAUAGCUAAUAUAUCCAUGAUACCAUAAGUUUUUGUCUCAUGUCUGUAUCAUCAUUAUGAAUAAGAUCCAGUGAUAGUUUCUAUAUCACUGUUAAUACACUUGUUAGCUAUAUUAAUUCCAGAUAUAUAUUUAUACAUUUAUCCCUAAUGAUCAAGCCAGAGGCAACGAAAAACUCCCUGAGACGCCAUGAGGAAGAAAUCUUGAUAGAAACCAGACUCCAACUUCUAUGACACAUUAAUGGUAAUGAAUAUUUGAAACUUAUUAUAAAUCAGGCUGCACGUAUAUACAGGGUUUUACAGUAACUACCAGGCAGUUUGGGGAGAAAGUUUAUAGGCACACUUAUUAAUGGGCUACUUACACACACACACUUCCGCCUUUUGACCUAAACAGCACUUCUACUUUUGGCUCAUCUACUAUAAUGUCUCUGUUUUACAGCUAGUGUCUGCAGCAACUCUCAAAAAAUGAUCAUAUAUGUAAGAACUGUACGACUGGAAAAAAAACCCAAAAGGUAGAUGGUGCUCCUUUGCUGUUCUGCCAAAUGUAAACAAUCCUCCUGGAGACAUGAGAUCCACACUGUAUCAGAAUGGAAGAGUAGUAGCUUUGUGCUGUUUGGAACUUGUUCCUUGCAAUCAGUAGAAAGAAAUUGUGCUUGAAAAACCUUUCUGUUGUCUACAUCUCAACUAAAAUAGACAGCAGCUUGUCCUCAUCAGCCCCUGGUGUUUACCGUAAAAACCCUGUAUGUGCUCACUCCCGCUUCUACUUUAGACACAUGAUUUUUUUUGUGUAUGAAUAAUGCAGGAUUACGCAUUGUUCCUCUUCAGGUUGGCAGGUCUGUGAUUGAUUAUUUGAGAUUAAGCUACAAUGAGUUCUGGAGCUUUAUAAUAGUGUUCUAAGAAAUGAAGGCAAACUAAACAUCACUUUUGGAUUAUGAGCCAUUCAAUAUCUGAUCUAGAUCAGACUUUUUUUGCCCUGUUUCCGCAAACGUCACAAAACCACUUGCUGUUAUUAUCCACACAAAGUCCAGAGAGGUUACGCAGUAUUAUUACUUUUCUGUCCGGAUCAUCUCAACUUUUCAUUACGUUAUUGGCUAAAAGAGGACAUCUCAAGCUAACAGAUAUAACAGUUACAUAAUCAAUCGCAUCUGAUCUUUAGUUUUCCAUUGUUUUUAACCGUUCAUUAUUGCCGUCAUUUUAAAAUACGAACGAACAUUUGUAUGGAGUUAUUUUAUUACUUGUGAAAUGUACUGUAAAAAAAAAAAACAAAAAAAAAAAAAAACAUUUUUAUGAAUUGAAAAUUCAUUAUGAUAUUAGAAAACUGUAAUUGCAAUUUCACAGUUACAUGUGUUUAUUUACAGCAUUUUAUACUUUUAUUACAUUCAGAUUAAGUGUCGCAGUUUAUCCAUUUACGCAAUACGUACAGCUCUGAGAAAGACAGCCAAUGGGACAGCACCGGGGAGUUAAAGAGGGUGGGGCUAAUGCAAAAAAAAAAAAUGAAAUAAUAAUGACAAUUAUAAACAAAAUCAUACGCAAAAAGUACAGGUUUAUGUACAUAUAGAGUUGUGAUUCCUAAAAUAACAUUAUUACUUAAAAAAAGAAAUGUGAUGUUUUGUUGUUUGGACUUUUGUUCAUCAUUACCAAUGCAUAGCCUCACUGGACUUCAAUAGGUCUUUUAUUUUCCAGCAAAAAAAAGUCCAUUUUUCUUGCACACAAUGGAAAAGUCAACAUUAUGGUGAAUAGUGUUAAAACAUGUAGUCCCAUGGCCAGCAUUAUGUCAGCAUCAUGGUCCCAAUGAGUGACAGGCAUAACUGGGUCAUCAAAUGGGGGGCGGGGCUUAAGUUUAAAUUUGAUCAGCCAAUUGCAGACUUCAAUUUGUGACAUUGCCUUUUUUAAUAAAAAAUAAUUUUUACAUUUUUGAUUCGGUGGAAUCACAAAAUACCGGGUUCGACAUAACGUUAGCCGCGGCAGAACCUAUUUUGCUAGCAUCAGCACAGUCCUGUUUUCAUGUAGCUUGCUAGUUAAGCAGAUGCAGGAGAACCGUUAUGUUUUAUAGUAAAAAGGAAAAACAUUUACAACUGGCUAAUCGGAUGUAACUUAUGCUACGCCCCUGUGGUCAUGGCGACACAUGACACUGCAAAACCAGGAUUUGAGCCCGUGUCUCUUGUUCUCACUCGUGUGUUUGUCUCCUAAAUCGUCUGUCCUGUUCGUGGAGGGAGAGAGCAUGUGAUUUUUUUUUUUUUUUCAGUUUAUUUUUGUUUGAAAGAGUUACCUGAUAAAACUGCUUCAUAAACUGCUCUACUGUCUCUGUAGCUAAAUGUGAUUUGCAGCCUGAUUUUUCCUUUAUUUCCCCUUCGAAAAAGAUUCUUUUGAGUUACCCUUGCAAUAGUAGGUGAUGCUAGUAAACCCCUUUUGUGAGUUUCACUCUCUCUCGCUCUCUCUCUCUCUCUCUCGUCGGUUCUCUCUUGUUCUAGUUCUAGUUCCCGUUCUGCCGCUUUGCUUUUCGGCCUUCAUGUCUGUUCUGUUUCGCAGCACGUACUGAAGAAGGAGAAGACUUUUAAACAAUGUAAAAACAGUCGAUGUGUUAUUCUCACGAGCGCUGAUCACGACCUUGUUUUUUUUUUUUUUUUCUAGUGUUUAAUCCCUGGUUUAUGUUCAUCAUCAGUUCUGUUGAUGUGGCAAACACUUACCUAAUGACGCACAACCUGCCUCAGCAGCAACAUGGCUUCAUAUUGUGAUCCCAAAAUUUUAUACAUGGAUGGGCCUGAAAUAAGCUCCACCCCAAUUUGAAGCAGAGCUGCUCAGUUACGCACUUCUCCUUAAAAGAGAGUUCAGGUCUCUAUGGUAGAUGUUCCUGGAGUGGAGGUACGUCAUUCCUCUGCAGAUGUCACAGGCCAGUUCAACUUUCUCUCUCCAACACAGUGAGAUGUCACUGCUUGCCAAGAGCUCCUCCAGACAGCCGCCGCUUACAUACUGUGUGUACACACACACACACACACACACACACACCUUGAUAUAGAAACCUAACCAGGCCUUUAUACGCUUCUCAUUUCUUUAAAAGCAAGACAUACACCACUAAUUAUUAAACGCAUUUCAAUGUGUCCUCUUUAGACAUCUGUCCUCUCUCCUGUCCGUCCUAAAUUAAGGUUCUGUCACAUUUGUCCAGCUUUAGGAUAGCAUUUGUCACCUACACAGUUAUAUACAUUAUGAAUGAAUAGAAACUAAGAAAUAAUUAUAAUAUGGAACAGAAUUUGAUGCAGAGUUACGUUCACUGUUGUAACAGUAUCCAGAAGGAAAAGUGAUGUACCAAAGGUGCAGAAGUGUUACAUGUAGUAACUGUGUAACAUGCAGUGUGCAGAGUGUAUACUCUGAAUAUUAACUUCAUUUUGUGGACCCAGGUUUGGAUCUGGAUGUUGAUUUGCCUUUUCUGUAUGAACUUUAUGAAAUUUUGCAUUAAAUACACAUUUUGCA
RNA transcript from Hemibagrus wyckioides, 9020 nucleotides. It is a transcript of the gene named E3 ubiquitin-protein ligase UHRF2-like, with no coding region annotated. NCBI's taxonomy places the organism in Eukaryota, Metazoa, Chordata, Actinopteri, Siluriformes, Bagridae. The transcript is spliced from 18 exons. The record is from RefSeq and is a predicted model, not a curated record.